GAUUUCCUAUUUCUACUCUUUGCUUUCUCUCUCUAGACAUAGCUAUUUUUUUUCUAAGAAAUUUGCUCUGCCUUCUCUCUAAGAAAACCACUCAGAAUCGAUAAAAAAUUUUAACUGAAGGUACUACAACGUUCCUUGCACCAAGAUCUUCAUUUUUAACCGAACAGUUUCUCCUGUUCGUCCCGGUCCGAUUAAUCUUGUCUCUGCGUUGGAGUACUGUCUUGAGGUCUUGUGAGCUGUUCUGUGUAACCAAAAUAUGGCGAGGAGGAUACUCUGGAAACAACUCUUGAUGGGGAAGACAGUGUUGCUGCCUAGUUCUCUAGGCUUUAAUUCUCUUGUCCAAGGAUAUUUUGAAGAAACUUUAUUAUGUUAUAAGUUUUUAAAUUCUCUGUAAUUUCUAGGGAGAAACUCGAGUACUCUAGUUUUCAAUUUCAUAUUAUUCUAAGGAUGACUGUAAUCCUAAUUACUCUUGAUUGCUUUCCUAUAUUAUGCAUG
Molecule: long non-coding RNA, 495 nt
Organism: Vigna radiata var. radiata (mung bean)
Lineage: Eukaryota; Viridiplantae; Streptophyta; Magnoliopsida; Fabales; Fabaceae
Exons: 3
Source: RefSeq, a predicted model, not a curated record